UACGUAGGUGGCAAGCGUUGUCCGGAAUUAUUGGGCGUAAAGCGCGCGCAGGCGGUCCUUUAAGUCUGAUGUGAAAGCCCACGGCUCAACCGUGGAGGGUCAUUGGAAACUGGGGGACUUGAGUACAGAAGAGAAGAGUGGGAUUCCACGUGUAGCGGUGAAAUGCGUAGAGAUGUGGAGGAACACCAGUGGGCGAAGGCGCUCUUUGGUCUGUAACUGACGUGAGGCGCGAAAGCUGGGGGAGCAA
RNAcentral lists this ribosomal RNA (247 nucleotides) under uncultured bacterium. RNAcentral describes it as "partial 16S ribosomal RNA". It matches the Rfam family "Bacterial small subunit ribosomal RNA", at positions 524 to 771 of the family's 1533-position model. The record is from RNAcentral.